This 369-nucleotide ribosomal RNA is filed under the name uncultured organism. Its description in RNAcentral is "bacterial SSU rRNA". It matches the Rfam family "Bacterial small subunit ribosomal RNA", at positions 526 to 896 of the family's 1533-position model. The record is from RNAcentral.
CGUAGGUGCAAGCGUUAAUCGGAAUUACUGGGCGUAAAGCGUGCGCAGGCGGUUUUGUAAGACAGGCGUGAAAUCCCCGGGCUCAACCUGGGAAUGGCGCUUGUGACUGCAAAGCUGGAGUGCGGCAGAGGGGGAUGGAAUUCCGCGUGUAGCAGUGAAAUGCGUAGAUAUGCGGAGGAACACCGAUGGCGAAGGCAAUCCCCUGGGCCUGCACUGACGCUCAUGCACGAAAGCGUGGGGAGCAAACAGGAUUAGAUACCCUGGUAGUCCACGCCCUAAACGAUGUCUACUGGUUGUUGGGUCUCUUCUGACUCAGUAACGAAGCUAACGCGUGAAGUUGACCGCCUGGGGAGUACGGCCGCAAGGUUG